UUCCCACACCGGGAAUUGAACCCGGGCCUCCUGGGUGAGAGCCAGGUAUCCUAACCACUAGCCCAGGUGGGA
This 72-nucleotide transfer RNA is filed under the name Araneus ventricosus. Its description in RNAcentral is "tRNA-Glu". The record is from RNAcentral. Lineage: Eukaryota; Metazoa; Arthropoda; Arachnida; Araneae; Araneidae.